UCUAGCUAGUAUGCCUGGGCAAAGGGAACUUUAGUUCAGCCCCCCGAAACUAGACGAGCUACUUCAAGACAGCCUAUGUAGGGCGAACCCGUCUCUGUCGCAAAAGAGUGGGACGAUCUUCAAGUAGAGGUGACAAACCUAUCGAGCCUAGUCAUAGCUGGUUGCCUGAAAAGUGAAUAUAAGUUCAGCCUCCCGAUUCCCCCCAUCCAAGACAUCCUGUCCCACAAGACUAAGGGCGACCGAGAGAGUUAGUCAAAGAGGGUACAGCCCCUUUGAAAAAGGACACAACCUCACCGGGAGACAAAAGAUCAUAACUUACCCAAGGAAACUUGUUUUAGUGGGCCUAAAAGCAGCCAUCUAUGAAGAAAGCGUUAAAGCUUAUACAAAAUACGACCCUUAAUACCGAACCAUGCUCUACACUCCCCAACCACUAUCAGGCCGUUCCAUAAACCCUGGAAAAGACCCUGCUAAAAUGAGUAAUAAGAGGGAACCGCCCCUCUCCACUACACAUGUGUAAAUCGGAACGGACCGCCCGCCGACAACUAACGACCCCCUUAGAGGGCUGUGUACUACUGCACGAACAGCUAGAAACCUUAACACAACCAAUCGUUACCCCAACACAGGUGUGCAUGCCCGGAAAGACUUAAACAAAGGGAAGGAACUCGGCAAACAAAAGCCUCGCCUGUUUACCAAAAACACCGCCUCUUGCAAAACGAACAAAUAAGAGUCCCGCCUGCCCUGUGACUAUAUGUUUAACGGCCGCGGUAUUUUGACCGUGCGAAGGUAGCGCAAUCACUUGUCUCUUAAAUGGAGACCCGUAUGAAAGGCAUCACGAGGGCUUGACUGUCUCCCCUUUAAAGUCAAUGAAAUUGAUCUCCCCGUGCAGAAGCGGGGAUAUGCUCGUAAGACGAGAAGACCCUAUGGAGCUUAAGACACAAAACGACCCACGUCAAACACCCCUCAAAGGACACGAACAAAGUAGACUUCGUUAGAAUGUCUUCGGUUGGGGCGACCGCGGGGAAAAACAAAACCCCCACAUGGACUGGGCCCACACAAUUUUUAAUCCCAAAACCUAGACCCCCGAGUCAAAUCAACAGUAUUUCUGACCACCAAGGAGCCGGCAAUGCCGAUCAACGGACCAAGUUACCCUAGGGAUAACAGCGCAAUCCCCUCCCAGAGCCCAUAUCGACGAGGGGGUUUACGACCUCGAUGUUGGAUCAGGACAUCCUAAUGGUGCAGCCGCUAUUAAGG
RNAcentral lists this ribosomal RNA (1251 nucleotides) under Lobianchia gemellarii. RNAcentral describes it as "16S ribosomal RNA". It matches the Rfam family "Bacterial large subunit ribosomal RNA", at positions 619 to 2570 of the family's 2925-position model. Lineage: Eukaryota; Metazoa; Chordata; Actinopteri; Myctophiformes; Myctophidae. The record is from RNAcentral.